AUGUGCGGCCAUUUGCUUCGAACUCCACUAGUGGUGAUUCCCCAUUGGCUAACUUUGCAAAGAGAGGUGAUGCUGGAGAAAAUUGAUGUCAUUGCAAGAUCCAGGCAUCCCAAAAUACACAUGCCAAAUCCAUGUCUCCUAAUCGACAACGGCCUCAAGAAUUAUGGUGGCAUCUUUCUUGUGUCCUUUGAACUACCAUGCCAUGCUAUAGAGAGAAGUUCUCUGACUUCCAGUGCAUGCAAUCAGUGGAUCCAAGCAAACCUGGAAACUCAAAGGCUUUGUUCAUCUCCAAAAGCAUCGACGUGCCUUCAGCAUUGGGUGCUCUCAAAUACUCUACCCUAA
This 342-nucleotide ribosomal RNA is filed under the name Triticum aestivum (bread wheat). RNAcentral describes it as "partial small subunit ribosomal RNA". The record is from RNAcentral. Lineage: Eukaryota; Viridiplantae; Streptophyta; Magnoliopsida; Poales; Poaceae.